GAGAGUAUUGCUCAGUGGUAGACCCCAUGCUUAGCAUGCACGAGGCCCUGGGUUCAAUCUCCAGUACCUUCG
RNAcentral lists this transfer RNA (72 nucleotides) under Camelus bactrianus (Bactrian camel). It matches the Rfam family "tRNA". From Rfam's summary of the family: Transfer RNA (tRNA) molecules are approximately 80 nucleotides in length. The record is from Rfam by way of RNAcentral. RNAcentral also lists the same sequence under 2 other names. Lineage: Eukaryota; Metazoa; Chordata; Mammalia; Artiodactyla; Camelidae.